RNAcentral lists this ribosomal RNA (742 nucleotides) under Microbacterium sp. BA-158. RNAcentral describes it as "bacterial SSU rRNA". It matches the Rfam family "Bacterial small subunit ribosomal RNA", at positions 60 to 813 of the family's 1533-position model. The record is from RNAcentral. Lineage: Bacteria; Bacillati; Actinomycetota; Actinomycetes; Micrococcales; Microbacteriaceae.
AGUCGAACGGUGAAGGAGAGCUUGCUCUCCGGAUCAGUGGCGAACGGGUGAGUAACACGUGAGCAAUCUGCCCCUGACUCUGGGAUAAGCGCUGGAAACGGCGUCUAAUACCGGAUACGAGCUGCGAAGGCAUCUUCAGCAGCUGGAAAGAACUUCGGUCAGGGAUGAGCUCGCGGCCUAUCAGCUAGUUGGUGAGGUAAUGGCUCACCAAGGCGUCGACGGGUAGCCGGCCUGAGAGGGUGACCGGCCACACUGGGACUGAGACACGGCCCAGACUCCUACGGGAGGCAGCAGUGGGGAAUAUUGCACAAUGGGCGCAAGCCUGAUGCAGCAACGCCGCGUGAGGGACGACGGCCUUCGGGUUGUAAACCUCUUUUAGCAGGGAAGAAGCGAAAGUGACGGUACCUGCAGAAAAAGCGCCGGCUAACUACGUGCCAGCAGCCGCGGUAAUACGUAGGGCGCAAGCGUUAUCCGGAAUUAUUGGGCGUAAAGAGCUCGUAGGCGGUUUGUCGCGUCUGCUGUGAAAACCCGAGGCUCAACCUCGGGCCUGCAGUGGGUACGGGCAGACUAGAGUGCGGUUAGGGGAGAUUGGAAUUCCUGGUGUAGCGGUGGAAUGCGCAGAUAUCAGGAGGAACACCGAUGGCGAAGGCAGAUCUCUGGGCCGUAACUGACGCUGAGGAGCGAAAGGGUGGGGAGCAAACAGGCUUAGAUACCCUGGUAGUCCACCCCGUAAAACGUUGGG